UACAGAGGGUGCGAGCGUUGUCCGGAAUCACUGGGCGUAAAGGGCGCGUAGGCGGCCUGAUAAGUCGGGGGUGAAAUCCUGUGGCUUAACCACAGGGCUGCCUCCGAGACUGUCGGGCUCGAGCACAGUAGAGGCAGGUGGAAUUCCCGGUGUAGCGGUGGAAUGCGUAGAGAUCGGGAAGAACAUCGGUGGCGAAGGCGGCCUGCUGGGCUGUUGCUGACGCUGAGGAGCGAAAGCGUGGGGAGCAAACAGG
Molecule: ribosomal RNA, 253 nt
Filed under: uncultured bacterium
Lineage: Bacteria
Description: partial 16S ribosomal RNA
Rfam family: Bacterial small subunit ribosomal RNA
Source: RNAcentral